GUUACGCAGUUUCAACGGUCUUGUUCCUCUGCGUCUCAUCAGACUUGCCUACAAGGUUUCGCAAAAUGAAGGUCGCUGUAACAUCGAUCAAAUUGUGUUCGUUUCUUGGAAGUGGUCAGAUUCCAAGUGAUCUGAGAUGCAGGAAACCUGAGGAAUCUGAAGGAGAUGGAUGAAAUGUUGAAAUAAGUCUGGAACUGAACCAGAACAGGUGCCAGUGUCUGUGGAUCUUAGGAUUGCAAAUGUCUGUUACAUGUGGCCAGAUGUAGAUGGGGUUGAGCAUAUGCUGACGGUGUCAUGCUGAAGUAAUCUCAGUGUUGAACCAGUUGAGUUAUGGCUUUUCUGUCAGAUCUUGGACAUGAGGUGAGUGUAAAAUGCAAGUGAAAUGUCUCAGACCCAGAUGAGCGAGUUCAGUUUGUCUAAUUUCCUUCAGAGAUGAAGAUGCUUUUUCUUCACUUGACAAAAUGGUGUUCAGUACCGAGAGUGACUUUUUGGGGGACAAUAGUCUGUGGCUCUGUCUUCUAAAAGCUUAUUAGUUUUUAAACAAUUCACUUUAUUAAAAGCCAGGUAGGUGAACAAUUGAAUAAAUGUCCACAGUAAACCUUGACACUUAAUUGAAACUAAUCAUUAACCAUAUAAUCCUGGUUCAUUCUUUCAAUAUCAGUAUUUCACUUAAGUCUCAGGCAUAAUCUGCCAAUUUGACUUGUAAAAUGCAGUGAUGCUGAAUUGGUUGAUCACCUACUAGACUACAUAAACUCAUCUGGGUCUGAACUGUUUUUUUUGGGAUCUCUGUAUAACUGUUUGAUCCCUGUGCUCUGGCCUGUGUGAUGACCAUGUGUUGCUGACUAAACCGUGGAGUUUAACAUUAGCUCUAGCUGACCUGGUCGGUGGUGAAACUGUCUGUUUAUUGGUGUGCAUGUUAAACUUGAGCUACUUUAUCUAUUCAAGGUGCAGUCUCUUCUGUUGGAGGCUGAAAGGCAGAGCAAGGAUGAGUUUCAGAUGAGGAGUGCUGUGUUCCAGAGGCAGACCUUGAUUGUUUCAAGAGGAUGAAGGACAGCUGUCCUGCUGUGUCCUUGAGGAAAAUGCUUCACCAACAUCACCUCCAGUGUCAGUGGUGACAUUGUGUGAUCGGUGUCCCAGGGCAGUUGGUGAUACAGAUGUAGUUCACCACCACCAGUGAAUGAAUAAUGGGAUUGGUGUAAAGCACUUUAUUUGAUUCAAUAAAUGUUUUUUUUUUUUGACAAA
Long non-coding RNA from Sphaeramia orbicularis (orbiculate cardinalfish), 1242 nucleotides. RefSeq lists it as uncharacterized. The transcript has 11 exons. Lineage: Eukaryota; Metazoa; Chordata; Actinopteri; Kurtiformes; Apogonidae. The record is from RefSeq and is a predicted model, not a curated record.